This 516-nucleotide ribosomal RNA is filed under the name Triticum aestivum (bread wheat). RNAcentral describes it as "partial small subunit ribosomal RNA". The record is from RNAcentral. Lineage: Eukaryota; Viridiplantae; Streptophyta; Magnoliopsida; Poales; Poaceae.
AUGUGGGAUGCACUCGAGGCCAAGUUUGGGGUCUCGGAUGCUGGCACUGAGCUGUACAUCAUAGAGCAAUUCUAUGAUUACAGGAUAACUGAAGAGCGCUCCGUGGUUGAGCAAGCUCAUGAGAUACAGUCGUUUGCUAGAGAACUUGAGCACUUCAGUUGUACGCUACCGGACAAGUUUGUUGCGGGAGGUAUCAUCACUAAGCUUCCUCCUUCAUGGAGGAACUUUGCUACCUUGCUGAAGCAUAAGAGGCAGGAGUUUUCCAUCCCGGAUCUCAUUGGCACUCUUGAUGUGGAAGAAAAGGCGAGAGCAAAGGACACACGUGCUCGAGGUAUUGAGGGAGGAUCUAGUGCCAAUGUGGUACAGAAGCAGAACUUCCAGCCCCACAAGUUCAAGAACAAGGGCAAGUUUGAUGGUAAAGCAAAGUUUGAUGGGAAGAACAAGGCUGUGCAACAUACGAACUUCAAGAAGAAGAAUGGCAAGAAGAAAGGUGCUUGUCAUGUGUGUGGAGAUUGA